ACAGGAUUAGAUACCCUGGUAGUCCACGCCCUAAACGAUGUCAACUGGUUGUUGGGGAUUCAUUUCCUUAGUAACGUAGCUAACGCGUGAAGUUGACCGCCUGGGGAGUACGGUCGCAAGAUUAAAACUCAAAGGAAUUGACGGGGACCCGCACAAGCGGUGGAUGAUGUGGAUUAAUUCGAUGCAACGCGAAGAACCUUACCUAGGCUUGAAAAGCAAGUGACAGGGUGUGAAAGCACCCCUCCAGCAAUGGCACUUGUACAGGUGCUGCAUGGCUGUCGUCAGCUCGUGCCGUGAGGUGUUGGGUUAAGUCCCGCAACGAGCGCAACCCUUACUAUUAGUUGCCAUCAGGUCAAGCUGGGCACUCUAAUAGGACUGCCUACGCAAGUAGUGAGGAAGGUGGGGAUGACGUCAAGUCCGCAUGGCCCUUACGCCUAGGGCCACACACGUGCUACAAUGGGUAUGACAAUGGGUUGCCAAACCGCAAGGUGGAGCCAAUCCCUUAAACGUACCCUCAGUUCGGAUUGGAGUCUGCAACUCGACUCCAUGAAGUCGGAAUUGCUAGUAAUCGCGCAUCAGCACGGCGCGGUGAAUACGUUCCCGGGCCUUGUACACACCGCCCGUCAAGCCAUGGAAGCCAGGGGUACCCAAAAUCAGUGUUCUAACCGCAAGGAGGAAGCUGCCUAAGGUAAAACUGGUGACUGGGGCUAAGUCGUAACAAGGUAACCAAGGGC
This 734-nucleotide ribosomal RNA is filed under the name uncultured bacterium. Its description in RNAcentral is "bacterial SSU rRNA". It matches the Rfam family "Bacterial small subunit ribosomal RNA", at positions 772 to 1507 of the family's 1533-position model. The record is from RNAcentral.